Molecule: transfer RNA, 73 nt
Filed under: Entomophthora muscae
Lineage: Eukaryota; Fungi; Entomophthoromycota; Entomophthoromycetes; Entomophthorales; Entomophthoraceae
Description: tRNA-Phe
Rfam family: tRNA
About the family: Transfer RNA (tRNA) molecules are approximately 80 nucleotides in length. Their secondary structure includes four short double-helical elements and three loops (D, anti-codon, and T loops).
Source: RNAcentral
GCGGCUAUAGCUCAGUUGGGAGAGCGUCAGACUGAAGAUCUGAAGGUCCCGCGUUCAAUCCGCGGUGGCCGCA